Molecule: ribosomal RNA, 950 nt
Filed under: uncultured bacterium
Lineage: Bacteria
Description: bacterial SSU rRNA
Rfam family: Bacterial small subunit ribosomal RNA
Source: RNAcentral
GAUGAACGCUAGCGGCAGGCUUAACACAUGCAAGUCGAGGGGCAGCACGGGUAGCAAUACCUGGUGGCGACCGGCGGAAGGGUGCGUAACGCGUGAGCAACAUGCCCUAUACAGGGGAAUAAACCAGGGAAACUUGGUCUAAUGCCCCAUAGCAAUAAGAUAAGGCAUCUUAUUUUAUUUAAAGCUUCGGUGGUAUAGGAUUGGCUCGCGUGACAUUAGCUGGAUGGUGGGGUAACGGCCCACCAUGGCGAUGAUGUCUAGGGGUUCUGAGAGGAAGACCCCCCACACUGGGACUGAGACACGGCCCAGACUCCUACGGGAGGCAGCAGUGAGGAAUAUUGGACAAUGGAUGGAAAUCUGAUCCAGCCAUGCCGCGUGCAGGAAGACGGCCCUAUGGGUUGUAAACUGCUUUUCUACGGGAGCAAUAAGGUCUACGCGUAGACUGAUGAGAGUACCGUAGGAAUAAGCAUCGGCUAACUCCGUGCCAGCAGCCGCGGUAAUACGGAGGAUGCGAGCGUUAUCCGGAUUUAUUGGGUUUAAAGGGUGCGUAGGCGGCUUUUUAAGUCAGCGGUGAAAUUUUGCAGCUUAACUGUAACAGUGCCGUUGAUACUGGGGAGCUAGGAUUUGGUUGCUGUGGGUGGAAUGUGUGGUGUAGCGGUGAAAUGCUUAGAGAUCACACAGAAUAUCGAUUGCGAAGGCAGCUCACAAAGCCAAGAUUGACGCAGAGGCACGAAAGUGUGGGGAUCAAACAGGAUUAGAUACCCUGGUAGUCCACACUGUAAACGAUGAUAACUCGCUGUCGGCGAUACACAGUCGGUGGCCAAGCGAAAGCGAUAAGUUAUCCACCUGGGGAGUACGACCGCAAGGUUGAAACUCAAAGGAAUUGACGGGGGCCCGCACAAGCGGAGGACAUGUGGUUUAAUUCGAUGAUACGCGAGGAACCUUACCGG